UCCUGAGUACCUACCCUUCAAACUAAAGGA
This 30-nucleotide non-coding RNA is filed under the name Mus musculus (house mouse). The record is from RNAcentral. Lineage: Eukaryota; Metazoa; Chordata; Mammalia; Rodentia; Muridae.